CGUAGGGUGCGAGCGUUAAUCGGAAUUACUGGGCGUAAAGUGUGCGCAGGUGGCCGCGCAAGUCGAGUGUGAAAUCCCCGAGCUUAACUUGGGAAUUGCGCUCGAAACUACGUGGCUCGAGUGUGGCAGAGGAAGGUGGAAUUCCACGUGUAGCGGUGAAAUGCGUAGAGAUGUGGAGGAACACCGAUGGCGAAGGCAGCCUUCUGGGCCAACACUGACGCUCAUGCACGAAAGCGUGGGGAGCAAACAGGAUUAGAUACCCUGGUAGUCCACGCCCUAAACGAUGAUGACUAGUUGUUGGGGGAGUUAAAUCCCUUAGUAACGCAGCUAACGCGUGAAGCCAUCCGCCUGGGGAGUACGGUCGCAAGAUUA
RNAcentral lists this ribosomal RNA (372 nucleotides) under uncultured organism. Its description in RNAcentral is "bacterial SSU rRNA". It matches the Rfam family "Bacterial small subunit ribosomal RNA", at positions 526 to 896 of the family's 1533-position model. The record is from RNAcentral.